Long non-coding RNA from Cebus imitator (Panamanian white-faced capuchin), 2505 nucleotides. RefSeq lists it as uncharacterized. The transcript has 5 exons. The record is from RefSeq and is a predicted model, not a curated record. NCBI's taxonomy places the organism in Eukaryota, Metazoa, Chordata, Mammalia, Primates, Cebidae.
UUAUAGGGGCCUUAACCAUGAACUUGGUGAUGAGCUAGAGUAGAUACCUUUCGAUCCCCUACAAGACCUCAAAAUGAAAGGAGCAAUUAUAUCCUUGAUGAUUCUUAAUUGUCGCAAUUAACAAAGUCAGUUUCUGGAGUCUGAGCUGAAAAUGAAGCUUAGAAUGCACCUUCAAUACAUGAAAUUUGGUAUUUUACCAGAUAGAGAAUCCAGCCUGCUGGUUAUUUUCUUCCAGUACUCCAUGUUGUUCCACUGUCUUUUGGCUUAUGCCGUUUCUGAUUAGAAGUUUUCAGUCAUUCUUAUUUGUUUUCCUGCCAAUGCCAGCCCUUGGUGUGUACCCCUGAGCCCUCAGUAAGGACCUCUGGCUACAAGUUUUCAGGAACGGGUUCAGAAUCCCACAUCACAUUCUGUUAUUACUUUUGACUGGUCUCCUGCUGUCUGGAACAGUUUCUCAGUCUUUCUUCAUUUUCAAGAGUGUGAAAAGAUAGCAAAACCAAAAGUCUGGGAACUGCUGGUUUAGAGUCACAAUACUGACUUCUCAGAAUGACUUUUUAAGAAGAAAGCCUUAAAAACCCUUGAUUGAAUGGUUGGUGUCUACAGACAAGCGAAUGUAUGGAAGAGUAACAAGACAUCCAGCCUGAAUCUGUUGAAUGAACAAAAGGGGAAAUGUCCUUAGGAGUCAGAUGGAAGAAGGUUUUCUGGGAAGAGCAGAACAGAGGAGUUGGGCCUCAGACCUCCUGGGUCACAAGCAGGAGGAGAAGAGUAGGGAGACUUUAAAGUGAUUGAGACGAAAAUGGAAGUAAAACAGCUUAAGGCUUUUUGAUACCGGGUUCCUGGCAGCGUCAUUAGCAGAUGGUUUCUUCUGAAGUUCAGGGGAAGAGAAGAUGGUUGAAGGACUCUCCAGGGACUGAGUGGGUGUUACGGAGCCAGUGCUGUAGAUGCUGUGUAUACAGGCGAAUUCCCCAGUGAGUGUUUUCCAAUAUCAAGUUUAACUGACAUUGAAGUUGUAUACCAAAGGUAGGUAAAUUAUUUUGGCCUGUGCUUAUAGGUUUAUUUGACUCAAUGAAGCUACCUGUCUCUGUCCUACUGUGCUGUAGCAGAUGCAGGGUCUUUCCAUACAAUACAUUGAGAGCUACAUCUCAUUUUAAAUAUUUUAAAAGAAACUCUGAUCGUACAAGUCAAGAUUUUUAAGAUCAGCUUUCGGUCAAAUUUUUUUGCUUUAUUUUUUUCUGGAGAUCAAAAUGAAUGUUUAACUGUUUAAGUUGAUUGCAGAGAAAGUUGCUACUCAUUCUAAAUGUAGGUUUUUAGAAAAAGUGUCCUUGCCAAUUGCUUCAGUUGACUUUUUCAAACUUGCAUGGGAAUCAAGAUUCAGAACUGGUACACUAGUGGGAAGAGCCUGGAAAAUAGGCAAUUGAUCAAGAAGGUGGCCCAGAUACUUUAAGACCUUUUUAGUGUAUUUGAAAGAUUAUAAGUUUGAACUAACAGAAACUUUAGUGCUGUUUUCUUUUCACAAGUCAAUGUGUAGUAUACCUUGUUAUUCUUUGUUUUCCUAUAAUAUCUUAAUAAUAUUCCUGGCUGUAAGGAAAAAUUAACAUUAUACAUACAUUUUGACUUAUUUUAUAGAUGACCCAAACAAUAUUUAACAAAAUAUUUCUCAAAUACUAUUUGGAGAUAACUAUAUUAGACACCAUCUUAAUUUCUCAACAUGCUUCUUUUUGAGACUUCCAGAUUUUGGUGCUCUUUUCAGCAUCACUCAUUUUCUUUCAUAAUAAAGAUACCCAAUUGAAAUAUCAUGAUAAAGAUCUGAUAACAAAUCUCCACUUUUGAAGUGUUACAUUUCAUAUCUAUGUGUCCACAAAGAAUUCAGUAUGAACAUUGCAUAUACCAAUGAAUAUUCCCUAAGCUUAAAGCCUCUAAGUCUAGGAUACUUGCAGUUAUUUAGCAAAUAAUUUAAUCCAUGGCAAACAUGAGUCUUAAUACAAAAAUUAUUGAGUAGGCAAAAAAUAAUUUAAUGUAUUUGGGACUGAUUACCAGUGCAUUAAAAAAGUAGAGGUUUAAGGAUGGGAAUAAUACGUUUUUUUGUUUUUACUUAAAUUUAUAUAAAAGGAAGGAAAAUAAAGUAGCCUAUAGUACUUACUAGUGUGGUUAUAUUUUCAGCACUUAAUAAUUACUAUUGAAUUAUGUAAUGUAGGACUAUAUCUGAUAUGAUUUCGCUCUGUUUACCCACCCAAAUCUCAUGUUGAAUUAAAAUUUCCAAUAUAUGGGGAGGUACCUAGUAGGAGGUGACUGGAUCAUUGGGGCAAAUUUCCACCUUGCUGUCCUCAUGAUAGCGAGUGAGUUCUCACAAGAUCGGAUGGUUUAAAAGUGUGUGACAUUUCCCCCUUUACUCUUUCUCUCUCCUCCUGGCCAUGAGAAGAAGUGCUUGCUUCUCUUUCACCUUCUGCGAUGAUUGUAUUUCCUGAGACCUCCCAGCCAUGCUUCCUGUUCAGCCCCCAAAACUGUGAG